GGCCAGUUAGCUCAGUCGGUUGAGCAUGGCACUGUCAACGCCAAGGCCACAGGUUUGAUUCCCUUUUGGUCC
Molecule: non-coding RNA, 72 nt
Organism: Apaloderma vittatum (bar-tailed trogon)
Lineage: Eukaryota; Metazoa; Chordata; Aves; Trogoniformes; Trogonidae
Source: Rfam